This 1553-nucleotide ribosomal RNA is filed under the name Staphylococcus borealis. Its description in RNAcentral is "bacterial SSU rRNA". It matches the Rfam family "Bacterial small subunit ribosomal RNA". Lineage: Bacteria; Bacillati; Bacillota; Bacilli; Caryophanales; Staphylococcaceae. The record is from RNAcentral.
UUUAUGGAGAGUUUGAUCCUGGCUCAGGAUGAACGCUGGCGGCGUGCCUAAUACAUGCAAGUCGAGCGAACAGACAAGGAGCUUGCUCCUUUGACGUUAGCGGCGGACGGGUGAGUAACACGUGGGUAACCUACCUAUAAGACUGGGAUAACUUCGGGAAACCGGAGCUAAUACCGGAUAAUAUUUCGAACCGCAUGGUUCGAUAGUGAAAGAUGGUUUUGCUAUCACUUAUAGAUGGACCCGCGCCGUAUUAGCUAGUUGGUAAGGUAACGGCUUACCAAGGCGACGAUACGUAGCCGACCUGAGAGGGUGAUCGGCCACACUGGAACUGAGACACGGUCCAGACUCCUACGGGAGGCAGCAGUAGGGAAUCUUCCGCAAUGGGCGAAAGCCUGACGGAGCAACGCCGCGUGAGUGAUGAAGGUCUUCGGAUCGUAAAACUCUGUUAUUAGGGAAGAACAUACGUGUAAGUAACUGUGCACGUCUUGACGGUACCUAAUCAGAAAGCCACGGCUAACUACGUGCCAGCAGCCGCGGUAAUACGUAGGUGGCAAGCGUUAUCCGGAAUUAUUGGGCGUAAAGCGCGCGUAGGCGGUUUUUUAAGUCUGAUGUGAAAGCCCACGGCUCAACCGUGGAGGGUCAUUGGAAACUGGAAAACUUGAGUGCAGAAGAGGAAAGUGGAAUUCCAUGUGUAGCGGUGAAAUGCGCAGAGAUAUGGAGGAACACCAGUGGCGAAGGCGACUUUCUGGUCUGUAACUGACGCUGAUGUGCGAAAGCGUGGGGAUCAAACAGGAUUAGAUACCCUGGUAGUCCACGCCGUAAACGAUGAGUGCUAAGUGUUAGGGGGUUUCCGCCCCUUAGUGCUGCAGCUAACGCAUUAAGCACUCCGCCUGGGGAGUACGACCGCAAGGUUGAAACUCAAAGGAAUUGACGGGGACCCGCACAAGCGGUGGAGCAUGUGGUUUAAUUCGAAGCAACGCGAAGAACCUUACCAAAUCUUGACAUCCUUUGACAACUCUAGAGAUAGAGCUUUCCCCUUCGGGGGACAAAGUGACAGGUGGUGCAUGGUUGUCGUCAGCUCGUGUCGUGAGAUGUUGGGUUAAGUCCCGCAACGAGCGCAACCCUUAAGCUUAGUUGCCAUCAUUAAGUUGGGCACUCUAAGUUGACUGCCGGUGACAAACCGGAGGAAGGUGGGGAUGACGUCAAAUCAUCAUGCCCCUUAUGAUUUGGGCUACACACGUGCUACAAUGGACAAUACAAAGGGUAGCGAAACCGCGAGGUCAAGCAAAUCCCAUAAAGUUGUUCUCAGUUCGGAUUGUAGUCUGCAACUCGACUACAUGAAGCUGGAAUCGCUAGUAAUCGUAGAUCAGCAUGCUACGGUGAAUACGUUCCCGGGUCUUGUACACACCGCCCGUCACACCACGAGAGUUUGUAACACCCGAAGCCGGUGGAGUAACCAUUUGGAGCUAGCCGUCGAAGGUGGGACAAAUGAUUGGGGUGAAGUCGUAACAAGGUAGCCGUAUCGGAAGGUGCGGCUGGAUCACCUCCUUUCU